RNAcentral lists this transfer RNA (71 nucleotides) under Fukomys damarensis (Damara mole-rat). It matches the Rfam family "tRNA". Rfam says of the family: Transfer RNA (tRNA) molecules are approximately 80 nucleotides in length. Their secondary structure includes four short double-helical elements and three loops (D, anti-codon, and T loops). The record is from Rfam by way of RNAcentral. Lineage: Eukaryota; Metazoa; Chordata; Mammalia; Rodentia; Bathyergidae.
GAGGAUGUAGCUCAGUGGUAAAGUAUAUGCUUAGCAAGCAGAAGGCCUUGGGUUUGAUUCCUGACACCACA